Molecule: small nuclear RNA, 103 nt
Filed under: Nelumbo nucifera (sacred lotus)
Lineage: Eukaryota; Viridiplantae; Streptophyta; Magnoliopsida; Proteales; Nelumbonaceae
Source: RNAcentral
AAAUCUUUGGAGAUAUAUCUAAUAAAAUUGGAAUGAUACAGAGAAGAUUAGUAUGGCCCCUGUGCAAGGAUGGCACACAAAUCAAGAACUGGUCCAAAAUUUA